CUCAUAUGGAGUCUCUGGAUAGCUUCGGUUAAAAUUAAAAUCCUAAUCCUGAAGAUGUAACGAGCAAUUUGGUAAAAUAAAUUUGUCGUAAUGUUUUACGGUUGCGAAGGAGUAGUGGCCACAAGAAAAACAGUGUUUGGGGAGAUAAACUCUUACAACAUAAAGUAUUUGGUUACGCAGUUGUCAGUUUUUAAAGCGCAUACACUUUACGAUAUCAUAUUCUAAAUAUCUAAGCGACAUCUUUUGAAACAUCAAUAUUACGCAAGAAAAGAAUUAGGCGGAAGAAAAAAAAAAAAAAUAAUAAUUAAAAACCAAUUGUUCAGAGAACAAUUGUAGGUCUUUCCACUAGUAAAGAUCUAUUUUGAUAUUAAAAUAUUAAAAAUCAGUUUAAAAUGUUAGUUCCUAUGGCUUUAUGAUGUAUUUAUAUGAAUUUAAAGCAAAGGUCAAAAUCUAGAACGUCAUAUCAACCUAUGACCUUGACCUCAAUUUCAAGUUCACAAACCAAGG
RNAcentral lists this long non-coding RNA (507 nucleotides) under Mytilus galloprovincialis (Mediterranean mussel). The record is from RNAcentral. Lineage: Eukaryota; Metazoa; Mollusca; Bivalvia; Mytilida; Mytilidae.